Molecule: long non-coding RNA, 1620 nt
Filed under: Phoenix dactylifera (date palm)
Lineage: Eukaryota; Viridiplantae; Streptophyta; Magnoliopsida; Arecales; Arecaceae
Description: long non-coding RNA (PDAC_LNC011438)
Source: RNAcentral
AAGAACAAACAGGAUGCAUCCAACAAGAUAAUAAAAAUAAUAGAUUCUGGGGAGAUGAGAUAAAUUACUUACAGAACUAAUUCUACAACAUGGAAUAAAUAUGGGAUAAAUAUACAACUUUGGGCAGAAAGUAUUCUUCACUAACCGCAAUACGGUUUCCAAUUUAAAUUUUGUUACAAAUUUUGCCAUAGCUUUAGAGUGCACCAUGAAAGAGUCCCUGUGCUUGUAUAUCAAAUCAGUCAGAGCUUUAAUUAAAGAUUUGGGGUUAAAUUUGGUGCCCACCUUAGGAACAUGCAUAAAGUCUACAUAAUCUGCAAUGACAUCAAAGAAUAAGUCAAACUAUCGCAUGCAAAAAUAUUAAAUUGUGCCAGUAACAAUCAGAGAGUAGAACAAAACAAUAUGAAAAAAGAGAAAGCACAUGCCAAAACUCUAUUCCAAUAUGACCUAAACCAUCGUUCCAUGAAAAACAGAUGCAAAAUUUUCUAUGACAAAUGUAUUCUAGUAAUAAACACAAGAACCAAUUCAAGCAACCACUGGUUUGCAUUCUUAACAAUGUACCUAGAAAUGUGUUGCAGACAUAAACUUAACUGGCUCCAAGUAGCAUAAUGGUGCAAGACUUUUAGAAAUCUGAAUUUGUAAGUAUAUUAGAGGAUUCCAUAGACAUUUGGAUUUCCCAGGGAGCAUCAGCAAAUAAAUAGCUAAUUGAAGCAGAAAGUUUAUAGAGUCCAAAAACUUGUGGAAAUUAAUGGAUUCAAGAAUAAAUGGGUUUAAACAAGGCAACUCAAUCUUCAAGAUACUGACUAGAACUAAAUAAAAAGUCAAAUUCCACUUAAGGUAUGUUGAGGGCCAACACUCAAGAUGCGGCAAACAAAGUCUUCAUCAAUUCAUUUCUUGUCCCGCAUACAUCCGAAGUUUAGAAGUACAGAUUUUCUCACCCCCCAUAAUGAAGCAUAGUAAAGUUAUAUAGUCAUACAGCUAUGUUUUAAACCUGGUGAGUUUAAUGAAAAAUUGUUUUGAGCGAUAUAUUUUUAAUGAAAAUUUUAUACAGAUUUGUAUCAUAUAAAAUAAUGCUAAUAAACUUGUCACAUGAAAUCAGCUUUUAACAGGGCAAAGUGACAGAAUAGGAUUUGGCUCUAAAUGAAGCUAAUGAGUGGUACUCCAUGGACACAGAUACGAGAAUAAGAAUCGGACUCAUGCCCAAGUAUUUGAUGCAGCAAGAGAGAAGAGGAAAUGCAAGGAUACAUAAGAUAAAUUAUAAUAUUGACUAAAUUAUAUAUACCUUUAAUUGCUUGCCUAAACAUUAAAUAUAAAAUGUUAAGAAGAUGCCAUUUAUUAAGGCCUUUCGAUAAACAUGUUUCUUAUUCAAACUUUCCACAUUAACCUAAGAAUAUAAGAAAAAUAAUAUUUUGCAAAGUUAUUUCAAUACCUACAUUCUUGGCCAACACUAAAAAUAUGAAUAACCACUUCUAACAUGAAAAUGGAGGGUCAAACUCAUUAUCAGGAGUUUCUCUCUAGCAAUCUUUAAAAAUGGAAACAAUAGAAUUUCAAAAAUAUCCAAGUGCUGACUAGGCAUCUGAGUCAGAUACAUAUCCAAUAUGGAUUUUUGGAGCUCGACAUGAG